Long non-coding RNA from Neofelis nebulosa (Clouded leopard), 1011 nucleotides. RefSeq lists it as uncharacterized. The transcript has 2 exons. NCBI's taxonomy places the organism in Eukaryota, Metazoa, Chordata, Mammalia, Carnivora, Felidae. The record is from RefSeq and is a predicted model, not a curated record.
UGCCCUGAUGAGGUAGGUCUAUUGUGACCUACGUGUCACACAGGAACAAACAGAAGUGCUCAAGGGUGCGCAGCUGGCUAAGCAGUGGGGCUGGGCCAGGCAGCCUGGCUCCAGCCUGUGCUCUCGACCUCUGUGCCAUCUCGACUCUCUGCCACAGGAAGGUUGUUAUGAAGACAAGGACUUGCCCAUGGAUUUUAAGAAGCACUAAGAUCAGUCUGAAAAUGGAGCCUGGGGAUGAGUGUGAGCCCCUCCUCUCCUAACAUGCACAAGGAGACAUGGAAGCAUGUGUGGCUUGGAUAUUUUGAGGACGGAAGAAUCUGUGGACCAGGUGGGAGGCAAAACAAGGCAAAGACAACAAAAGCAAAAUAAACAAAUGGGACUACGUCAAACUAAAAAGCUUUUGCACAGUGAAGGAAACCAUCAACAAAACAAAAAGUCAACUUAAUGGGAGAAGAUAUUCACAAAUGUUAUAUGAAAUAAGUGGUUGACAUCCAAAAUAUAUAAAGAACUCAUAAAACUCAAUAUAAAACAACGACUAUUGAUUAAAAAUGGGCAGAGGACCUGAAUAGACGUUUCUCUAAAGAAGAUAUACAGAUGGCCAACAGACACAUGAAAAGAUGCUCAAUAUCACUCAUCAUCAGAGAAAAUGCAAAUCAAAACCACAUUGAGAUAUCACUUCACACCUGUCAGAAUGGAGAGUAUCAAAAAGUUAAGAAUAACAAGUGUUGGUGGAAGAUGUGGAGAAAAUAGAACCUUCUGCAUGUUGGUGGGAAUGUAAAUUGGUUCAGCCACUCUGGGAAACAGUAUGGAGAUUCCUCAAAAAAUUAAAAACAGAACUACAAUAUGAUCUAGCAGUUCCACUUUUGGGCAUUUAUCUGAAGAAAAUGAAAACACCAAUCUGAAGAGAUAUAUACAGCCCCAUGUUCACUGAAGCAUUAUUUACAACAGCCAAGAUAUGGAAGCAAUUAAAGUGCCCAUCAAUAGAUGAAUGGAUAAAUUAGAUGUGGUAUA